This 253-nucleotide ribosomal RNA is filed under the name uncultured bacterium. Its description in RNAcentral is "partial 16S ribosomal RNA". It matches the Rfam family "Bacterial small subunit ribosomal RNA", at positions 524 to 776 of the family's 1533-position model. The record is from RNAcentral.
UACGAAGGGUGCAAGCGUUACUCGGAAUUACUGGGCGUAAAGGGUGCGUAGGUGGUCGUUUAAGUCCGUUGUGAAAUCCCUGGGCUCAACCUGGGAAUGGCAGUGGAUACUGGACGGCUAGAAUGCGGUAGAGGGUAGUGGAAUUCCCGGUGUAGCAGUGAAAUGCGUAGAGAUGCGGAGGAACACCGAUGGCGAAGGCAGCCCCCUGGGCUGACACUGACGCUCAGGCACGAAAGCGUGGGGAGCAAACAGG